CACUGCCGAGAAAAGCCUCUAGAUAGAAAAUAGGUGCCCGUACCGCAAACCGACACAGGUAGUCAAGAUGAGAAUUCUAAGGUGAGCGAGCGAACUCUCGUUAAGGAACUCGGCAAAAUGACCCCGUAACUUCGGGAGAAGGGGUGCUCUUUAGGGUUAACGCCCAGAAGAGCCGCAGUGAAUAGGCCCAAGCGACUGUUUAUCAAAAACACAGGUCUCUGCUAAACCGUAAGGUGAUGUAUAGGGGCUGACGCCUGCCCGGUGCUGGAAGGUUAAGAGGAGUGGUUAGCUUCUGCGAAGCUACGAAUCGAAGCCCCAGUAAACGGCGGCCGUAACUAUAACGGUCCUAAGGUAGCGAAAUUCCUUGUCGGGUAAGUUCCGACCCGCACGAAAGGCGUAACGAUUUGGGCACUGUCUCAACGAGAGACUCGGUGAAAUCAUAGUACCUGUGAAGAUGCAGGUUACCCGCGACAGGACGGAAAGACCCCGUGGAGCUUUACUGUAGCCUGAUAUUGAAAUUCGGCACAGCUUGUACAGGAUAGGUAGGAGCCUUUGAAACG
This 560-nucleotide ribosomal RNA is filed under the name Staphylococcus aureus. RNAcentral describes it as "partial 23S ribosomal RNA". It matches the Rfam family "Bacterial large subunit ribosomal RNA", at positions 1603 to 2164 of the family's 2925-position model. Lineage: Bacteria; Bacillati; Bacillota; Bacilli; Caryophanales; Staphylococcaceae. The record is from RNAcentral.